Molecule: non-coding RNA, 653 nt
Organism: Arachis ipaensis
Lineage: Eukaryota; Viridiplantae; Streptophyta; Magnoliopsida; Fabales; Fabaceae
Source: RefSeq, a predicted model, not a curated record
CAUAACUUUUGAUCUAGAGCUCCGAUUGCCGCUCCGUUUGCGGCCACGCGUUCACCGCGGAGAGCUCUACAAAACCCAUACAACUAAUCUUGAGGUAAGCCACGUGUUUCUGUUCGAAAUUUCAGCCCUUAUUUUCGAGUUUCAUGGGUAAAAUGUUGAGAUUUUGGGUUCUUUGAUGUUAUAGGACCCAACUCUCUUGAAGGAGAAGGUUAAUGUUGUCUCCUUGGACCUUGGGUGUGGUUGUGUAUGUGUGGGUAUUGGAGCUUGAUUGGUGACUUUGAAAAGCUUGGAAAGGGUUUGGUGGUGAAAAAUCUGUUCUUGGAGGUGUUGAGGCCUUGAGAGCUUGUGGAUAAGUGGUUUGGAAGUGCUCCGGGGGAGCUUGGGAAAAUCGGCUAAGGUAUGGUUUCGGUUUCCCGUAUCUAAUAUGUAAUGUGGUAGGAAAUACUUAGGCUAGAGGCCCUAAGAUAGGCAUUGAAUUGUUGAUGUUGUUGAAUGAUUGAGAUAUAUGAUGUGGUCAUAUAUGUGAUGAUGAUUAUUAAGGCCUUAGUGGUAUGAUGUAUGAGAAAUAUGCAUGUUGUGAUAUAUACUUGAUGAUUGGUUAUGGUUGAAUUGUGGGUUGAACCAUGUUGAUGGUGAGUAUGAUGUUGAUUGUG